Molecule: ribosomal RNA, 492 nt
Filed under: uncultured bacterium
Lineage: Bacteria
Description: partial 16S ribosomal RNA
Rfam family: Bacterial small subunit ribosomal RNA
Source: RNAcentral
GAUGAACGCUAGCUACAGGCUUAACACAUGCAAGUCGAGGGGAAGCGGCAUUAAGUGCUUGCACUUUUUGGACGUCGACCGGCGCACGGGUGAGUAACGCGUAUCCAACCUUCCCAUGACUAAGGGAUAACCUGCCGAAAGGCAGACUAAUACCUUAUGGUCUUCACUGACGGCAUCAGAUGUGAAGUAAAGAUUUAUCGGUUAUGGAUGGUGAUGCGUCUGAUUAGCUUGUUGGCGGGGUAACGGCCCACCAAGGCAACGAUCAGUAGGGGUUCUGAGAGGAAGGUCCCCCACAGUGGAACUGGGACACGGUCCAAACUCCUACGGGAGGCAGCAGUGAGGAAUAUUGGUCAAUGGGCGAGAGCCUGAACCAGCCAAGUAGCGUGCAGGAUGACGGCCCUAUGGGUUGUAAACUGCUUUUGUAUGGGGAUAAAGUCAAUCACGUGUGAUUGUUUGCAGGUACCAUACGAAUAAGGACCGGCUAAUUCCGUG